RNAcentral lists this ribosomal RNA (485 nucleotides) under uncultured bacterium. RNAcentral describes it as "partial 16S ribosomal RNA". It matches the Rfam family "Bacterial small subunit ribosomal RNA", at positions 30 to 507 of the family's 1533-position model. The record is from RNAcentral.
AUUGAACGCUGGCGGCAGGCUUAACACAUGCAAGUCGAGCGGAGAUGAGGUGCUUGCACCUUAUCUUAGCGGCGGACGGGUGAGUAAUGCUUAGGAAUCUGCCAUUUAGUGGGGGACAACAUUCCGAAAGGAAUGCUAAUACCGCAUACGUCCUACGGGAGAAAGCAGGGGAUCUUCGGACCUUGCGCUAAAUGAUGAGCCUAAGUCGGAUUAGCUAGUUGGUGGGGUAAAGGCCUACCAAGGCGACGAUCUGUAGCGGGUCUGAGAGGAUGAUCCGCCACACUGGGACUGAGACACGGCCCAGACUCCUACGGGAGGCAGCAGUGGGGAAUAUUGGACAAUGGGGGGAACCCUGAUCCAGCCAUGCCGCGUGUGUGAAGAAGGCCUUAUGGUUGUAAAGCACUUUAAGCGAGGAGGAGGCUACUGAGACUAAUACUCUCGGAUAGUGGACGUUACUCGCAGAAUAAGCACCGGCUAACUCUGUG